Molecule: ribosomal RNA, 283 nt
Filed under: uncultured Lachnospiraceae bacterium
Lineage: Bacteria; Bacillati; Bacillota; Clostridia; Lachnospirales; Lachnospiraceae
Description: partial 16S ribosomal RNA
Rfam family: Bacterial small subunit ribosomal RNA
Source: RNAcentral
UUAUUUGAUUUUCUUCGGAACUGAAGAUUUGGUGAUUGAGUGGCGGACGGGUGAGUAACGCGUGGGUAACCUGCCCUGUACAGGGGGAUAACAGCCAGAAAUGACUGCUAAUACCGCAUAAGACCACAGCACCGCAUGGUGCAGGGGUAAAAACUCCGGUGGUACAGGAUGGACCCGCGUCUGAUUAGCUAGUUGGUAAGGUAACGGCUUACCAAGGCAACGAUCAGUAGCCGACCUGAGAGGGUGACCGGCCACAUUGGGACUGAGACACGGCCCAAACUCC